UUAUACAUACCAGUAACUCUUCUGACUUCCUCAUGAAUACAAAGUUUAUCAAAGCUCUAAUUUUUGUUUCUCUAGUGGGAUAAUAUCUUAUUUACAUUUAUUUACACAAUUUUAUUGUCUCCUGAAUUUUGUAGUAGCUGUAGACUUGCAUACAUACCAAUGAAGAAACAGGUUUUAUACUUUGAAGAUAAAAGAAGUGUCAGCAUGCUUGGGAGGACAGAAUUACGAGGAAGCAUUCAGCUCACUUCUGCUCAGGCACUGCCAGAAUAACAACAGAAAAAGCUGUCAAAAAUAACCAAAAAAUCCUACCCAAGUACAGCAGGAUCCAAAACAUCUUCAGCUUUGAAUGGGAUGGUGGAGCCUCUAGGUGCUGUAGUGCAUCAGCACAUGAAAUCCGUGUGAGAAGGGGACAAGGACCUACAGCUCCAAACUCCAACUGCAUCUCUUCCACCUUCAAAAACAGUGGCCUUGUCCAAGGCUUAAAAGUCCAUGUGCAGAUUAAGUAAAAGGGACAUACAUCCUUUCAGUUCCUCCCAGCCAGUGAACUGCUUUGCCUUGAUGCACUAAAGGGACUGCAGAACAUGCAGAUGGACUGCACAGAAUCUUUCUGUCCCUGAGAGAAACACUAAUCCCGAUCAAUAGCAGGUUGAAUCUGAAGAUGACUGAACUUCUUCUGUGGAAGAAAUUUCUGGAUGAUAAACAUCUAUUGUAAACAAGACCCCUUCUGUAUGUUAACAGGCAUCCAUGUAGUUUCGUGUCUUUUUAAGACCAAAAAGUGGUGAUGGAAUGGGGAAAAGAAAAAUUAAUAAUGACCACAUGGGCCUGGUUCAACAGGAAAUAUACUUGGUGAAGAAACUCUGGAUCUGAAGUUGAGCUGCUGAAGUAACACCCAGUUAAUCAGCCCAGUGUGUGCUUAGAGGGAAUACAAUCCUGCAGGAAUGGAUGAGACCCAAAGCCCAUCUAAAUCAUCUCUAAAAGUGAUCAUAACCAGAUGCAUUACAAAAUGGCAUGUGAACACUGAAGUAGCUCUACAAAGCUGUAUUAACUCCUAACUGCCUAUGAUUAUCACAAUAUGUGAUGUAUGAACUACUAAAAGCACUAAUGGAAAAAAAUGUUUUUACAGAAAUGGGAUUGUAUAGGUUUCCUAUAUAGUUUUCUUGAUCAUAGCUUCUUAUGAGGUAACACUGUUUCUGGCACGGGGAUUGCAAGAAUUUGUCAAUGUUGUAUUUCAUUGAUUUUAAUGAAGAAAAUAGAAUAUGCAAAAACCUAAAAUGCAUGUUCAUCUUGUGGUUGACCUUAAGAGAGCUUU
Long non-coding RNA from Harpia harpyja (harpy eagle), 1309 nucleotides. RefSeq lists it as uncharacterized. The transcript has 3 exons. The record is from RefSeq and is a predicted model, not a curated record. Lineage: Eukaryota; Metazoa; Chordata; Aves; Accipitriformes; Accipitridae.